Molecule: ribosomal RNA, 397 nt
Filed under: uncultured bacterium
Lineage: Bacteria
Description: partial 16S ribosomal RNA
Rfam family: Bacterial small subunit ribosomal RNA
Source: RNAcentral
AUACGUAGGGGGCGAGCGUUGUCCGGAAUGAUUGGGCGUAAAGGGCGCGUAGGCGGCCUUUCAAGUCAGUAGUGGAAGUCCAUCUUUCAAGGAUGGAAGUGCUACAGAAACUGAAGGGCUUGAGUGCAGGAGAGGUUAUCGGAAUUCCCGGUGUAGCGGUGAAAUGCGUAGAGAUCGGGAGGAACACCAGUGGCGAAGACGACUUUCUGGACUGUACCUGACGCUGAGGCGCGAAAGCGUGGGGAGCAAACAGGAUUAGAUACCCUGGUAGUCCACACUGUAAACGAUGAAUGCUAGGUGUAAGAGGUAUCGACCCCUUUUGUGCCGGAGUCAACACAAUAAGCAUUCCGCCUGGGGAGUACGGCCGCAAGGUUGAAACUUAAAGGAAUUGACGGGG